GAUGAACGCUAGCUACAGGCUUAACACAUGCAAGUCGAGGGGUAACAAGAGAAAAGCUUGCUUUUCUUGUUGACGACCGGCACACGGGUGAGUAACGCGUAUCCAACCUGCCUAUAACUAGGGAAUAACCUUGCGAAAGUAAGACUAAUACCCUAUGAUUUCCUUUGAUGACAUCAGAUUAGGAAUAAAGAUUUAUCGGUUAUAGAUGGGGAUGCGUCUGAUUAGCUUGUUGGCGGGGUAACGGCCCACCAAGGCAACGAUCAGUAGGGGUUCUGAGAGGAAGGUCCCCCACAUUGGAACUGAGACACGGUCCAAACUCCUACGGGAGGCAGCAGUGAGGAAUAUUGGUCAAUGGGCGGAAGCCUGAACCAGCCAAGUAGCGUGCAGGAUGACGGCCCUAUGGGUUGUAAACUGCUUUUAUACAGGAAUAAAGUUAGCCACGUGUGGUUAUCUGUAGGUACUGUAUGAAUAAGGACCGGCUAAUUCCGUGCCAGCCGCCGCGGUAA
RNAcentral lists this ribosomal RNA (506 nucleotides) under uncultured bacterium. RNAcentral describes it as "partial 16S ribosomal RNA". It matches the Rfam family "Bacterial small subunit ribosomal RNA", at positions 28 to 523 of the family's 1533-position model. The record is from RNAcentral.